RNAcentral lists this ribosomal RNA (484 nucleotides) under uncultured bacterium. Its description in RNAcentral is "bacterial SSU rRNA". It matches the Rfam family "Bacterial small subunit ribosomal RNA", at positions 15 to 523 of the family's 1533-position model. The record is from RNAcentral.
GAUCCUGCUCAGGACGAACGCUGGCGGCGUGCUUAACACAUGCAAAAGUCGAAACGAAGGUGCCUUCGGGCGCCUAGUGGCGAACGGGUGAGUAACACGUGAGCAACCUGCCCCUGGCUCUGGGAUAGCCUCCGGAAACGGGGAUUAAUACCGGACAGGACCUGCCCCCGCAUGGGGCGGGUGGAAAGUUUUUCGGCCGGGGAGGGGCUCGCGGCCUAUCAGCUUGUUCGGGGGGUGACGGCCCACCAAGGCGACGACGGGUAGCCGGCCUGAGAGGGCGACCGGCCACACUGGGACUGAGACACGGCCCAGACUCCUACGGGAGGCAGCAGUGGGGAAUAUUGCACAAUGGGCGCAAGCCUGAUGCAGCGACGCCGCGUGCGGGAUGAAGGCCUUCGGGUUGUAAACCGCUUUCAGCAGGGGCGAAUCUUGACGGUACCUGCAGAAGAAGCGCCGGCUAACUACGUGCCAGCAGCCGCGGUAA